This 342-nucleotide unclassified non-coding RNA is filed under the name soil metagenome. RNAcentral describes it as "partial contains 5.8S ribosomal RNA, internal transcribed spacer 2, and large subunit ribosomal RNA". The stretch from base 1 to 120 matches the Rfam family "5.8S ribosomal RNA", at positions 35 to 154 of the family's 154-position model. The record is from RNAcentral.
GAUGAAGAACGUAGCGAAAUGCGAUAAGUAAUGUGAAUUGCAGAAUUCAGUGAAUCAUCGAGUUUUUGAACGCAUAUUGCGCCCUCUGGUAUUCCGGGGGGCAUGCCUGUUCGAGCGUCAUUAAAUAACCCUCAAGCAUAGCUUGGUGUUGGGCUUUUUUACGUCCUUGACUGGGAUGGGCCUAAAAAUUAGUGGCGAUGGCUUUUUUACUUUCAAGCGUAGUAAAUCUCGUCUUGCUAAAGAGGAAAAAGAUUUUUUUUCUGCCAAAAAUUUUAACAUUUAAAGUUGACCUCGGAUCAGGUAGGAUUACCCGCUGAACUUAAGCAUAUCAAUAAGCGGAGG